Molecule: transfer RNA, 74 nt
Filed under: uncultured Solirubrobacteraceae bacterium
Lineage: Bacteria; Bacillati; Actinomycetota; Thermoleophilia; Solirubrobacterales; Solirubrobacteraceae
Description: tRNA-Leu-TAA
Rfam family: tRNA
About the family: Transfer RNA (tRNA) molecules are approximately 80 nucleotides in length. Their secondary structure includes four short double-helical elements and three loops (D, anti-codon, and T loops). Further hydrogen bonds mediate the characteristic L-shaped molecular structure. tRNAs have two regions of fundamental functional importance: the anti-codon, which is responsible for specific mRNA codon recognition, and the 3' end, to which the tRNAs corresponding amino acid is attached (by aminoacyl-tRNA synthetases). tRNAs cope with the degeneracy of the genetic code in two manners: having more than one tRNA (with a specific anti-codon) for a particular amino acid; and 'wobble' base-pairing, i.e. permitting non-standard base-pairing at the 3rd anti-codon position.
Source: RNAcentral
GCCCGGGUAGCCCAACUGGCAGAGGCAGCGGCCUUAAACCCCGCAAAGUGUGGGUUCGACUCCCACCCCGGGCA